Molecule: ribosomal RNA, 465 nt
Filed under: uncultured bacterium
Lineage: Bacteria
Description: partial 16S ribosomal RNA
Rfam family: Bacterial small subunit ribosomal RNA
Source: RNAcentral
GACGAACGCUGGCGGCGUGCUUAACACAUGCAAGUCGAACGGAAAGGCCCUGCUUGCCGUGUACUCGAGUGGCGAACGGGUGAGUAACACGUGGGUGAUCUGCCCUGCACUUCGUGAUAAGCCUGGGAAACUGGGUCUAAUACCGGAUAGGAGCCAUUUUUAGUGUGAUGGUUGGAAAGUUUUUUCGGUGUAGGAUGAGCUCGCGGCCUAUCAGCUUGUUGGUGGGGUAAUGGCCUACCAAGGCGGCGACGGGUAGCCGGCCUGAGAGGGUGGACGGCCACAUUGGGACUGAGAUACGGCCCAGACUCCUACGGGAGGCAGCAGUGGGGAAGAUUGCACAAUGGGCGCAAGCCUGAUGCAGCGACGCCGCGUGGGGGAUGACGGCCUUCGGGUUGUAAACUCCUUUCGCUAGGGACGAAGCUUUUUGUGACGGUACCUAGAUAAGAAGCACCGGCUAACUACGUG